UCCACACAUUCUGGCAAGGACUUGUAACUUCAGCUAGUAUAAGAAGCACAAGAAUCCCAUAAGCUCCAUAGUGAAUCAUGUAUCGGCAAGUCACAAAUACAUAGAGUGUUGCCAGAUGGUGAAGAAUGAAGAGAACAUCAGUAGGGAAGAACAAAAUGUAGUGUAAGAGGUCCAUCAAGAAAUAAGCCAUGCUGAACUCAAGAGCUCUGUUAUGGAAGGUGGAGUUUGAAGAAGCAUAUGAAUGUGAAUUUUUGGUGUGGAGUAGCGCCUGGAUGGCAAAAAUAACAGCAGGAGUGCCGUGAAUUAUGGAAAUGAAACAACUUGAAACUUCUGCUCUGUGUUUUGGACUCCAGCUUCUGAAAAUCACAAAGUAAGCAAGGAGAUACAUGGAGAGAAACAUAAUGAAGGAGGUGGGUAAGUUUAGUGGUGUAUCCAUGUCAGUCUAGCUUCAGGGAAUUCAAUACAGAGAUAUUGAAUAGUUGAAGAAAGGAUGAGGAUAUUUUGGAGCUAAGAAUAUUAAAAGCAUAUAUAGAUUAGAGAAACAUGAGAGGCGCGAGUUCUGUGGAAGAAAAUAUCCGAGCUUCUUAUACAGUUGUACAUAUGGCCUUUCAAUUUUGUCGCUGUCAAUUGCAAAGUAAAGAGGAGUACUAUGGUGGGUGAAUUUAAUGUUGCCGGUAUUUUAGUAAUGGGUCAUAUGAUGAUACAACGAAAAAAAUUUUGAUACGAUCAGGUUCUGUGAAGAAGGAAAGUGAGAAAUUGGUGAUAUGCUUGAUGGGUGUUCCGUC
RNAcentral lists this unclassified non-coding RNA (785 nucleotides) under Hevea brasiliensis (rubber tree). Lineage: Eukaryota; Viridiplantae; Streptophyta; Magnoliopsida; Malpighiales; Euphorbiaceae. The record is from RNAcentral.